This 468-nucleotide ribosomal RNA is filed under the name uncultured bacterium. RNAcentral describes it as "partial 16S ribosomal RNA". It matches the Rfam family "Bacterial small subunit ribosomal RNA", at positions 28 to 507 of the family's 1533-position model. The record is from RNAcentral.
GACGAACGCUGGCGGCGUGCUUAACACAUGCAAGUCGAACGGAAAGGCCCUGCUUUUGUUGGGUGCUCGAGUGGCGAACGGGUGAGUAACACGUGAGUAACCUGCCCUUGACUUUGGGAUAACUUCAGGAAACUGGGGCUAAUACCGGAUAGGAGCUCCUGCUGCAUGGUGGGGGUUGGAAAGUUUCGGCGGUUGGGGAUGGACUCGCGGCUUAUCAGCUUGUUGGUGGGGUAGUGGCUUACCAAGGCUUUGACGGGUAGCCGGCCUGAGAGGGUGACCGGCCACGUUGGGACUGAGAUACGGCCCAGACUCCUACGGGAGGCAGCAGUGGGGAAUAGUGCAAAAUGGGCGGAAGCCGGAUGCAGCAACGCCGCGUGCGGGAUGACGGCCUUCGGGUUGUAAACCGCUUUCGCCUGUGACGAAGCGUGAGUGACGGUAAUGGGUAAAGAAGCACCGGCUAACUACGUG